RNAcentral lists this ribosomal RNA (486 nucleotides) under uncultured bacterium. RNAcentral describes it as "partial 16S ribosomal RNA". It matches the Rfam family "Bacterial small subunit ribosomal RNA", at positions 29 to 507 of the family's 1533-position model. The record is from RNAcentral.
AUUGAACGCUGGCGGCAUGCUUUACACAUGCAAGUCGAGCGGCAGCGCGGGGGCAACCCUGGCGGCGAGCGGCGAACGGGUGAGUAAUGCAUCGGAACGUAUCCUCGAGUGGGGGAUAACCCAGCGAAAGUUGGGCUAAUACCGCAUGAGCUCUGAGGAGGAAAGCGGGGGACCUGCGAGGGCCUCGCGCUGGAGGAGCGGCCGAUGUCCGAUUAGCUAGUUGGUGGGGUAAAGGCUUACCAAGGCGACGAUUGGUAGCUGGUCUGAGAGGAUGAUCAGCCAACCUGGGACUGGGACACGGCCCAGACCCCUACGGGAGGGAGCAGGGGGGAAUUUUGGGCAAUGGGGGCAACCCUGAUCCAGCCAUGCCGCGUGAGUUAAGAAGGCCUUCGGGUUGUAAAGCUCUUUCGGACGGAACGAAAUGGGCGGGACUAAUACUCCGUUCUGAUGACGGUACCGUAAGAAGAAGCACCGGCUAACUACGUG